This 812-nucleotide ribosomal RNA is filed under the name uncultured organism. RNAcentral describes it as "SSU rRNA". It matches the Rfam family "Bacterial small subunit ribosomal RNA", at positions 641 to 1467 of the family's 1533-position model. The record is from RNAcentral.
CUUGAGUGCAGUUGAGGCAGGCGGAAUUCGUGGUGUAGCGGUGAAAUGCUUAGAUAUCACGAAGAACUCCGAUUGCGAAGGCAGCCUGCUAAGCUGCAACUGACAUUGAGGCUCGAAAGUGUGGGUAUCAAACAGGAUUAGAUACCCUGGUAGUCCACACGGUAAACGAUGAAUACUCGCUGUUUGCGAUAUACUGCAAGCGGCCAAGCGAAAGCGUUAAGUAUUCCACCUGGGGAGUACGCCGGCAACGGUGAAACUCAAAGGAAUUGACGGGGGCCCGCACAAGCGGAGGAACAUGUGGUUUAAUUCGAUGAUACGCGAGGAACCUUACCCGGGCUUAAAUUGCAGAUGAAUUACGGUGAAAGCCGUAAGCCGCAAGGCAUCUGUGAAGGUGCUGCAUGGUUGUCGUCAGCUCGUGCCGUGAGGUGUCGGCUUAAGUGCCAUAACGAGCGCAACCCUUGUUGUCAGUUACUAACAGGUUCCGCUGAGGACUCUGACAAGACUGCCAUCGUAAGAUGUGAGGAAGGUGGGGAUGACGUCAAAUCAGCACGGCCCUUACGUCCGGGGCUACACACGUGUUACAAUGGGGGGUACAGAGGGCCGCUACCACGCGAGUGGAUGCCAAUCCCCAAAACCUCUCUCAGUUCGGACUGGAGUCUGCAACCCGACUCCACGAAGCUGGAUUCGCUAGUAAUCGCGCAUCAGCCACGGCGCGGUGAAUACGUUCCCGGGCCUUGUACACACCGCCCGUCAAGCCAUGGGAGCCGGGGGUACAGGAAGUGCGUAACCGCGAGGAGCGCCCUAGGGUAAAC